UACGAAGGGGGCUAGCGUUGCUCGGAAUCACUGGGCGUAAAGCGCACGUAGGCGGCUUUUUAAGUCAGGGGUGAAAUCCUGGAGCUCAACUCCAGAACUGCCUUUGAUACUGGGAAGCUUGAGUCCGGAAGAGGUGAGUGGAACUGCGAGUGUAGAGGUGAAAUUCGUAGAUAUUCGCAAGAACACCAGUGGCGAAGGCGGCUCACUGGCCCGAUACUGACGCUGAGGCACGAAAGCGUGGGGAGCAAACAGG
This 253-nucleotide ribosomal RNA is filed under the name uncultured bacterium. RNAcentral's name for it is "partial 16S ribosomal RNA". It matches the Rfam family "Bacterial small subunit ribosomal RNA", at positions 524 to 776 of the family's 1533-position model. The record is from RNAcentral.